Molecule: ribosomal RNA, 1329 nt
Filed under: uncultured bacterium
Lineage: Bacteria
Description: bacterial SSU rRNA
Rfam family: Bacterial small subunit ribosomal RNA
Source: RNAcentral
AGCGGCGGACGGGUGAGUAACGCGUGGGCAACCUGCCCUGUACAGGGGGAUAACACCGGGAAACUGGUGCUAAUACCGCAUAAGACAGCACCAUGGCAUCAUGGAGUUGUCAAAGGAGCAAUCCGGUACAGGAUGGGCCCGCGUCCAAUUAGCUAGUUGGUGAGGUAACGGCCCACCAAGGCAACGAUUGGUAGCCGAGCUGAGAGGUUGAUCGGCCACAUUGGGACUGAGAUACGGCCCAGACUCCUACGGGAGGCAGCAGUGGGGAAUAUUGCGCAAUGGGGGAAACCCUGACGCAGCAACGCCGCGUGAAGGAUGAAGGUUUUCGGAUCGUAAACUUCUUUGAUUGGGGACGAAAGAAAUGACGGUACCCAGAAAACAAGCCACGGCUAACUACGUGCCAGCAGCCGCGGUAAUACGUAGGUGGCAAGCGUUGUCCGGAAUUACUGGGUGUAAAGGGCGUGUAGGCGGGAGAGCAAGUCAGAUGUGAAACCCCAUGGCUUAACUGUGGGACUGCAUCUGAAACUGUUUUUCUUGAGUACUGGAGAGGGAAGUGGAAUUCCUAGUGUAGCGGUGAAAUGCGUGGAGAUUAGGAGGAACACCAGUGGCGAAGGCGGCUUCCUGGACAGAGACUGACGCUGAGGCGCGAAAGCGUGGGAGCAAACAGGAUUAGAUACCCUGGUAGUCCACGCCGUAAACGAUGGAUACUAGGUGUAGGAGGUAUCGACCCCUUCUGUGCCGGAGUUAACACAAUAAGUAUCCCACCUGGGGAGUACGGCCGCAAGGUUGAAACUCAAAGGAAUUGACGGGGGCCCGCACAAGCAGUGGAGUAUGUGGUUUAAUUCGAAGCAACGCGAAGAACCUUACCAGGACUUGACAUCCCUCGCUAUUCAAGGAAACUUGGAGUUCCUACGGGACGGGGAGACAGGUGGUGCAUGGUUGUUGUCAGCUCGUGUCGUGAGAUGUUGGGUUAAGUCCCGCAACGAGCGCAACCCCUGUUGUUAGUUGCCAUCAGGUAAAGCUGGGCACUCUAACGAGACUGCCGGUGAUAAAUCGGAGGAAGGUGGGGAUGACGUCAAAUCAUCAUGCCCCUUAUGUUCUGGGCUACACACGUACUACAAUGGCUGUUACAGAGGGGAGCGAAGCCGCAAGGCAGAGCAAAUCCCAAAAAACAGUCUCAGUUCGGAUUGUGGGCUGCAACUCGCCCACAUGAAGUCGGAAUUGCUAGUAAUGGCAGGUCAGCAUACUGCCGUGAAUACGUUCCCGGGCCUUGUACACACCGCCCGUCACACCAUGAGAGUUUGCAACACCCGAAGUCAGCAGCUUAAC